Molecule: ribosomal RNA, 266 nt
Filed under: uncultured bacterium
Lineage: Bacteria
Description: partial 16S ribosomal RNA
Rfam family: Bacterial small subunit ribosomal RNA
Source: RNAcentral
GUCCUGGCAGUAAACGGUGCACGCUUGGUGUGGGAGGGUUCGACCCCUUCCGUGCCGAAGCUAACGCGUUAAGCGUGCCGCCUGGGGAGUACGGCCGCAAGGCUAAAACUCAAAGAAAUUGACGGGGACCCGCACAAGCGGUGGAGCAUGUGGCUUAAUUCGAUGCAACGCGAAGAACCUUACCUGGGCUUGACAUGUAUGUCGUAUCCUGCCGAAAGGCAGGAGUCAGUUCGGCUGGACAUGCACAGGUGCUGCAUGGCUGUCGU